This 197-nucleotide non-coding RNA is filed under the name Mesorhizobium loti. The record is from RNAcentral. Lineage: Bacteria; Pseudomonadati; Pseudomonadota; Alphaproteobacteria; Hyphomicrobiales; Phyllobacteriaceae.
AUAGUCGCUGCCGUCGUCGGUUCCGUUUUUGGAGCCAAGAGGGAAUGCGGUGAGGGCGAACUUCCUGCCCAAAGCCGUGGCUGCCCCCGCAACUGUGUGCGGUAGUCCUCCCCAAGACCACUGAGGAUUUUCCUCGGGAAGGUGGGGAAGGGCGUGGAUCCGCGAGCCAGGAGACCUGCCGGCGACAGGAUAGUUGA